GUUAGAUCAUCUCCAUUGGAAGU
This 23-nucleotide small nuclear RNA is filed under the name Arabidopsis thaliana (thale cress). RNAcentral describes it as "snRNA_07885". The record is from RNAcentral. Lineage: Eukaryota; Viridiplantae; Streptophyta; Magnoliopsida; Brassicales; Brassicaceae.